GAAUCCGCUAAGGAGUGUGUAACAACUCACCUGCCGAAUGAAUUAGCCCUGAAAAUGGAUGGCGCUUAAGCGGGCGACCGACACCAUGCCGUCUGUAAAAGAAAAAAUAUAUAAAUUCAGAUGAGUAGGAGGACGUGGCGGGUGUGUCGAAGCAUGCGUGCAGACGCGUGUGGAACGGCCGCUAGUGCAGAUCUUGGUGGUAGUAGCAAAUAUUCAAGCGAGAUCCUUGAAGGGCGAAGCGGGGAAGGGUUCCACGCGAACAUUGAUUGGGCGUGGGUGAGUCGUUCCUAAGCCGAGUGGCAAUUGCUAAGUAGCGGCGAAAGGGAAGCAGGUUGACAUUCCUGCACACGGAUGUGGAGGCGGUGACGCUUUAAUGAGGGCGAACACGCCGGCGAUGGCGCUGGGCAGAGUUUUCUUUUCUGUUUGACCGCUGCAGCGCGCGGUGUGGAAUCCGCUUGUCGGGAGAAACACGCGUGUUCGGGCAGAGCGCCGGGGCUAUUCCGGCGUCCAGCUCGCCAUCGACGGCCCUUGAAAAUUUGCCUGCUGGAAUAUAUUAUGAAAAUGAUUAUUAGGAUCCACGCCGUGGCGUACCGAUCACCGCAUCAGGUCCCCAAGGUGAACAGCCUCUGCUCGAUAUGAACAAUGCAGGUAAGGGAAGUCGGCA
Molecule: ribosomal RNA, 664 nt
Filed under: Polyopes hakalauensis
Lineage: Eukaryota; Rhodophyta; Florideophyceae; Halymeniales; Halymeniaceae
Description: eukaryotic LSU rRNA
Rfam family: Eukaryotic large subunit ribosomal RNA
Source: RNAcentral